Long non-coding RNA from Epinephelus moara (kelp grouper), 464 nucleotides. RefSeq lists it as uncharacterized. NCBI's taxonomy places the organism in Eukaryota, Metazoa, Chordata, Actinopteri, Perciformes, Serranidae. The record is from RefSeq and is a predicted model, not a curated record. The transcript has 3 exons.
GGUGUGUGCCACGACACUGCUAAAUCGCAGCAGUCAUCAUGUUUGGUCCUCAACUUCACACUUUCCAAGAGGUCCAAUUUGCAAUGUGCCCAUGUGUGUAUCAACAUCACUGGAUUAUUAUGAUACUGAAGAAAAUUUAAGAACAUCAUGAUUCUCAGGCAAGUUCUGGAAUUGUAAGUGUACUCUUUGUCUGAGACAGAGACCGGGUGAAAAUAAGGCCUUGAAAAAGAGGAGAGAAGACACAAUGCAUGUAACAGCUGUAAUUUGACAUGGUGUCCCAGAACAUCAACAACAGGCGCACCCAUGAUACCUAGCGCCUCAUAUGUAGACGUCAAAAGUCCACUGAACAAGCAGAUAUGUGACGAGUUGGGAGUAGGAAUAUGUUAGCUGCCUGCAGUAUGAACGUAGCUUCAGAUUCUCAGAUGGCACACAAUAUGGCAGUAGCCUCCUUAAAGAUACACUUG